UAGGGAAUCUUCGGCAAUGGGGGCAACCCUGACCGAGCAACGCCGCGUGAGUGAAGAAGUUUUUCGGUUCGUAAAGCUCUGUUGUAAGAGAAGAACGUGUGUGAGAGUGGAAAGUUCACACAGUGACGGUAACUUACCAGAAAGGGACGGCUAACUACGUGCCAGCAGCCGCGGUAAUACGUAGGUCCCGAGCGUUGUCCGGAUUUAUUGGGCGUAAAGCGAGCGCAGGCGGUUUAAUAAGUCUGAAGUUAAAGGCAGUGGCUUAACCAUUGUUCGCUUUGGAAACUGUUAAACUUGAGUGCAGAAGGGGAGAGUGGAAUUCCAUGUGUAGCGGUGAAAUGCGUAGAUAUAUGGAGGAACACCGGUGGCGAAAGCGGCUCUCUGGUCUGUAACUGACGCUGAGGCUCGAAAGCGUGGGGAGCAAACAGG
RNAcentral lists this ribosomal RNA (429 nucleotides) under bacterium. Its description in RNAcentral is "partial 16S ribosomal RNA". It matches the Rfam family "Bacterial small subunit ribosomal RNA", at positions 355 to 776 of the family's 1533-position model. The record is from RNAcentral.